Molecule: non-coding RNA, 186 nt
Organism: Phaseolus vulgaris (common bean)
Lineage: Eukaryota; Viridiplantae; Streptophyta; Magnoliopsida; Fabales; Fabaceae
Source: Rfam
CUGGAAUGAUGUGAUUUAGCCAAAUCAUACGUUCAUGUGCUCCAUGUGGUACCGAACAUUGUUUCUAAAGCUGGCUCUCAUGGUAAAACUAAGCAUGCAAGCAAGCUUUGGUUGAUGUUCACGGUCCUCAUGUUGAAGUGCAUUUCCCUGAUGAUAAACCAGGAGAUUGGUUGUUUCCUGACCAGA